AGAUAACCCGUUUAGUGGAACCUUUGGAGUUGGUAUCCACCAUUUAUCGUUGCUUUUGCUACUUUCAUCGGCUGAAGUUUUUGAAACGAACCAUUUCAACUAUAUAAUCAGUUACAGAUAGCAACCAAUCGAUCUCUUUUUUCCAUCUGAUUUUCGUCUCUGUUGCCAUUGGCUCUAGCUUUCUCUGUUCCCCAAAUGCGGAUGCUGCAUAAUAGUGGACAUUCGAAAAGAUUACAAUCUAAAGACAGGUAAUGGUAUUUUAGUCUUUUAAAUAAUCAAAAGGGAGGAGGAAGAUGGAAUACAAGUUUAUGAAUUUCCAAAGUA
Molecule: long non-coding RNA, 324 nt
Organism: Impatiens glandulifera
Lineage: Eukaryota; Viridiplantae; Streptophyta; Magnoliopsida; Ericales; Balsaminaceae
Exons: 2
Source: RefSeq, a predicted model, not a curated record